RNAcentral lists this ribosomal RNA (377 nucleotides) under uncultured bacterium. RNAcentral's name for it is "bacterial SSU rRNA". It matches the Rfam family "Bacterial small subunit ribosomal RNA", at positions 521 to 896 of the family's 1533-position model. The record is from RNAcentral.
UAAUACGUAGGGGGCAAGCGUUGUCCGGAUUUACUGGGCGUAAAGCGCGUGUAGGCGGAGCGUUAAGUCUGGCUUGAAAGCCCCCAGCUCAACUGGGGAGAGUGGCUGGAAACUGGCGUUCUUGAGGGCGACAGAGGAGUGUGGAAUUCCUGGUGUAGCGGUGAAAUGCGUAGAGAUCAGGAGGAACACCCGUGGCGAAGGCGGCACUCUGGGUCGCACCUGACGCUGAGACGCGAAAGCGUGGGGAGCGAACGGGAUUAGAUACCCCGGUAGUCCACGCCGUAAACGAUGGUCACUAGGUGUGUGCGGUAUCGACCCCGCACGUGCCGGAGCUAACGCAAUAAGUGACCCGCCUGGGGAGUACGGCCGCAAGGUUG